AACGAACGCUGGCGGCAGGCUUAACACAUGCAAGUCGAACGCCCCGCAAGGGGAGUGGCAGACGGGUGAGUAACGCGUGGGAACAUACCCUUUUCUACGGAAUAGCUCUGGGAAACUGGAAUUAAUACCGUAUACGCCCUACGGGGGAAAGAUUUAUCGGGGAAGGAUUGGCCCGCGUUGGAUUAGCUAGUUGGUGGGGUAAAGGCCUACCAAGGCGACGAUCCAUAGCUGGUCUGAGAGGAUGAUCAGCCACAUUGGGACUGAGACACGGCCCAAACUCCUCCGGGAGGCGGCGGGGGGAAAUAUUGAACAGGGGGAGCAACCCUGACCCAGCCUUGCCGGGUGAGUAAUGAAGCCGUUGGGGUGGAAAACCUCUUUCCCCGAGAAAGAAAAGGAGGGUGGCCGAAAAAGAGCCCCCGGCUAACUUCGUG
This 431-nucleotide ribosomal RNA is filed under the name uncultured bacterium. Its description in RNAcentral is "partial 16S ribosomal RNA". It matches the Rfam family "Bacterial small subunit ribosomal RNA", at positions 29 to 507 of the family's 1533-position model. The record is from RNAcentral.